RNAcentral lists this ribosomal RNA (494 nucleotides) under uncultured bacterium. RNAcentral's name for it is "partial 16S ribosomal RNA". It matches the Rfam family "Bacterial small subunit ribosomal RNA", at positions 28 to 507 of the family's 1533-position model. The record is from RNAcentral.
GACGAACGCUGGCGGCGCGCUUAACACAUGCAAGUCGAACGGAAAGGCCUGCUUUCCCUUGUGGAUUGCGGGUACUCGAGUGGCGAACGGGUGAGUAACACGUGAGUGAUCUGCCCCCAACUUGGGUAUAAGCCUGGGAAACUGGGUCUAAUUCCCGAUAGGACUGCAGGGUGGUGCCUGUGGUGGAAAACGAUUUUCUAGUGGUUGGGGAUGAGCUCGCGGCCUAUCAGCUUGUUGGUGGGGUAAUGGCCUACCAAGGCGGCGACGGGUAGCCGGCCUGGGAGGGUGGACGGCGACAGUGGGACUGAGAUACGGCCCAGACGCCUACGGGAGGCAGCAGUGGGGAAUAUUGCACAAUGGGCGGAAGCCUGAUGCAGCGACGCCGCGUGGGGGAUGACGGCCUUCGGGUUGUAAACUCCUUUCGACCGCGAGGAAGCCACCUGGUUGGAAGGGUGGUGACGGUAGUGGUAGAAGAAGCACCGGCUAACUACGUG